Molecule: ribosomal RNA, 253 nt
Filed under: uncultured bacterium
Lineage: Bacteria
Description: partial 16S ribosomal RNA
Rfam family: Bacterial small subunit ribosomal RNA
Source: RNAcentral
UACGGAGGGUGCGAGCGUUGUCCGGAAUCACUGGGCGUAAAGGGCGCGUAGGUGGCGGUCCAAGUCAACGGUGAAAGCUCGGGGCUCAACCCCGAGUCGGCCGUCGAUACUGGGUUGCUUGAGCACUGUAGAGGCAGAUGGAAUUCCGGGUGUAGCGGUGGAAUGCGUAGAGAUCCGGAAGAACACCGGUGGCGAAGGCGGUCUGCUGGGCAGUAGCUGACACUGAGGCGCGACAGCGUGGGGAGCAAACAGG